GGUUGCGAACAGAAGGCAGGAAAGGAGAAACCCUUCUCCUUCAAUUGAGUUCAAGAAAUUCAGCCAAUUGAAGCCCUAAUCGUAGUUGUACUCAUGCAUGUCAAUGAUUUCUUGGUCAUCUAGCCCUAACAAAUACAUGAAUAGGAACCACACUAGCAUGGACCAAGCAUGGAAGGCUAACGGGACAAGACGAGGCAAGGAAGCGGGUAUGAACACGAAUGCACAAGGAACGAGUACAUCGGAUUCUUACGAAAUUUAAGCCCAACCCGGAAUAAGAGGAUGAGUGAUACACGGACUUCUUCUGCUACUUAGGAAGUGAAGCGGACGUAGAUCGAGUCAAGAGCAAGGAUUGCACGGAUAGAUCGAUCAUAUAGUUGAAAUAUAUAACGUCUAGAAAUGUAAAUUUUAGUAUGAAUGUUGUGAAUUCUUUUAUAGAACGUUUAACAUUUUAGCUUUUGGGAACCUUCUCGAAAGUAAUGUCGUUAAUAAGGAAAGAAAUUUUAAAGCUC
This is a long non-coding RNA of Helianthus annuus (common sunflower), 509 nucleotides long. RefSeq lists it as uncharacterized. The record is from RefSeq and is a predicted model, not a curated record. The transcript is spliced from 4 exons. Lineage: Eukaryota; Viridiplantae; Streptophyta; Magnoliopsida; Asterales; Asteraceae.